RNA transcript from Centruroides sculpturatus (bark scorpion), 2507 nucleotides. RefSeq lists it as uncharacterized. NCBI's taxonomy places the organism in Eukaryota, Metazoa, Arthropoda, Arachnida, Scorpiones, Buthidae. The transcript is spliced from 2 exons. The record is from RefSeq and is a predicted model, not a curated record.
AGUAAUUUUAUAGAAUGACGUCAAGAGGUGAAAAAUUCUUCGAAUUGGAUGGAUUGUUUUCAGAGAUUUAAAAACGAUCGUUUAUUUUUUAUACAUGUCGAGCAAAAACUGACAUUAAAUAAUAAUUCUAAUGAUUUUUAAUGGUAAUAAAGAGUGUCAUUAUCAAAUAUGAUUUAUUUUAUCGCUUAAAAUAUUCAUUUCAUUUUAAACUUCAUCUGAAAAAUUAUUAUUUUUUUAAUGUCACAUUUGUGAACAGUGUUUUUCUAUCAUCAAUCAUUAGAAAUUAUUCAAAAAUGUCAUUCAUACAAAAUUUAAACGUGAUUGCAGCUGUCAUGCUUCUUCAUUAAAUUAACUACUUAAAGUCUUCUAUAAUCGAUCCGAUACAGUUAAUUAGUAAUGAACAAUAAUGAUUUGUAUCCAAAUUUUAAAAAUUGCACAACAAUAACGAAUAUAUUAAUAUAUUAGUAUAUUUCUUCUUCUCGCUAUAUAUUCGAUCGAUAGACAGAAACGAGAGCUUUUUUAUUGAUUUUUCCGGAAACAAAAUUUUGAAGUUUUAUAAAUAAAUUUUAGUUAAAAUUUAAAAAAAAAAUUACCGAGAAUAUAACGCAUAAAUCUUCUAGAAGUUACACACGGAUCCGGUUAUUAUAGAGGAUAAUUUUAAUUCAGGAAAACCUCAAAUUAACUGGUUAAUGUUAUUGACAUGAUUGCGUAUUAAUAUUCAUCAAAGUUUAGUCAUUUAUCGUCAAUUUUCCGUUAACAUUGCGAGUUGCUAUUAUCGAGUAUGAAGCAAAUCUUCGCCUCCCAAUAGCGUACACCCCCUUACUGGACAUGGAACUAUCUGCAGGCUGAACCUAUCUGGUGACGUUUCGAAGUGGACAUUUCACAAACUAAACGCUGGAUUUGAGAGUAGCAUAUCUGUCAAAGUAAAGUCUACAAUCAUCAAAUUAUGUAAACAAUCUUCUUUACUUAAGUUAAACAGUUAUGGAAUAUCAUAAAUGAACAUACUCUUGUGUUACGAAAUACGAGUGUUUGACAGUAAAACGGAUUAUGAGAUUGUUUCAUAUUAAUCCACGUGAGAGACGCGCAUCUAGAGAAAGAAAUUCAAACGGAUCCUCCACGAUGUCAAGAUUAUCCUCAAAUAGUCCUCGUCCGUCUGUAGACGGUUUGUUAGCCCCAACAUUUCCAUCGAGACCAAGAUCUAUGUCUGUUGCUUUCAGUCAAGAUGCAACAGAAGGCGAUUCUUCAUAUCGAAGAUUGCGUUCGCAUUCUGUUUGCCCUCAGUCUCAAAGAACACCAAGAAAAUCAUUAGCGAGAAUGGACGAAGAAGAUUCUUUUCGUGGUUUUACCAUCAAAUUGUACGUCAUAUUAGGAACUUUGUGCACAGCUAUGGCUGGAUUUGUGAUAUAUGCAUAUCUGUACAAUACUGGGAAAUAUCAUUAGAAGAUACUGUAUACAUAUGAAAUUCACAUAUUGUAUAAAAGUCUGGUAAUUGUGCAAUGUUUUAUAUUUAUUUAUAGUUAUGCACUUGCAUAGUUGUUAAGCUCGGAGAUAUUUUUAUGUAAAAAAUAUAUUCGAAUUUUUAUUUACACAUUCAUUUUUGCAAACAUUUCCGCGCUUUUUUGUAAAUAGGUAUAUUCCUAUGAAAUGUGUAAUAUAUGUAGAUAACAAGAAAUGUUGAAAUAUUUAUAAUACGAUAAUUGUUCAGAAAAGGUUUCACGUUGCUCAAAUGUUUAAAGUAUAUAUAUAUAUAUUGUAAUGGUAUAUAAUUAUUUGAAUAUAUGAUAUUGUUGCAUAAACUAUUUAUCUAUUAAAUCGUGCAGAUGAUUAAUUUUAUAUUUAAAUUAUUAAUAAUAAAUGAACAAUGCAUACGUACCGUUUAAAAUUUCGCGGAAUUAAACAAUACUCGUUAUUAAUAUAAUAUAUAUAAUAUCGGUUUCCUAUACCACAAACCGUUUUGUAUAACGAAAAGUCAAAACAGGAUUAAAUUUGAGUUGAAAGUGCGAAAAUCAUGUUUAUGGAUAACAAUUUGAUAUCCGUGGUGUUUUUGUUAUUAGAUAAAAAAAUGUAUAUGUUAAACAUAUUUUGGCUUCAUAGGAUUUAUCUGCUUGAUGGUGUUAUUGUCAAAAAUAAAAAAAAUUAAUUUAAAAAUAUUCGCAUUUUUAAGGGUUUAUUGGAGUAUGUUGGAUUGAACCGGUCAGUGAAGAUAAAUAAAAUUAAACAUUUUAAUUUUGAAGCAUUUUUAUUCAAAAUUUUGUUUUUUAAUCGACGAAAUCGUUAUUUAACGAGGAAAUAACUUUAAUUAUGAAUAAAACCAGUGUAAGAUGUAAUCAAAGUAUAAUAUUUCCAAAAUCCAAAUCGUUCCAAAUAUAUAUUGUUCCAAAGAAGAUGAUUUUGGAAUAUUACAUAAAGCAGCACUCUCACGUUACAUUUAUAUUUUAAUGUCUUCGCUUCGUAUUAUUAUCGUCUAUAUUAUUCUUUUUUUUAUUUUCAUGCAAAUUUUUACGAGU